RNAcentral lists this ribosomal RNA (450 nucleotides) under uncultured Glomus. Its description in RNAcentral is "SSU rRNA". It matches the Rfam family "Eukaryotic small subunit ribosomal RNA", at positions 569 to 1022 of the family's 1831-position model. Lineage: Eukaryota; Fungi; Glomeromycota; Glomeromycetes; Glomerales; Glomeraceae. The record is from RNAcentral. RNAcentral also lists the same sequence under 1 other name.
AGCAGCCGCGGUAAUUCCAGCUCCAAUAGCGUAUAUUAAAGUUGUUGCAGUUAAAAAGCUCGUAGUUGAAUUUCGGGAUCAAUACGUCGGUCGUGCUUUCGGGUACGUACUGGCGUCAUUGGUUUCUCCUUUCUGACGAACCAUGAUGUCAUUAAUUUGGUGUUAUGGGGAGUUAGGACUGUUACUUUGAAAAAAUUAGAGUGUUUAAAGCAGGCAUUAGCUUGAAUACAUUAGCAUGGAAUAAUGAAAUAGGACGUUCGAUCCUAUUUUGUUGGUUUCUAGGAUCAACGUAAUGAUUAAUAGGGAUAGUUGGGGGCAUUAGUAUUCAAUUGUCAGAGGUGAAAUUCUUGGAUUUAUUGAAGACUAACUACUGCGAAAGCAUUUGCCAAGGAUGUUUUCAUUAAUCAAGAACGAAAGUUAGGGGAUCGAAGACGAUCAGAUACCGUCGUA